AGAGUUUGAUCAUGGCUCAGAUUGAACGCUGGCGGCAGGCCUAACACAUGCAAGUCGAGCGGUAGCACAGAGAGCUUGCUCUCGGGUGACGAGCGGCGGACGGGUGAGUAAUGUCUGGGAAACUGCCUGAUGGAGGGGGAUAACUACUGGAAACGGUAGCUAAUACCGCAUAAUGUCGCAAGACCAAAGUGGGGGACCUUCGGGCCUCAUGCCAUCAGAUGUGCCCAGAUGGGAUUAGCUAGUAGGUGGGGUAAUGGCUCACCUAGGCGACGAUCCCUAGCUGGUCUGAGAGGAUGACCAGCCACACUGGAACUGAGACACGGUCCAGACUCCUACGGGAGGCAGCAGUGGGGAAUAUUGCACAAUGGGCGCAAGCCUGAUGCAGCCAUGCCGCGUGUGUGAAGAAGGCCUUCGGGUUGUAAAGCACUUUCAGCGGGGAGGAAGGCGAUAAGGUUAAUAACCUUGUCGAUUGACGUUACCCGCAGAAGAAGCACCGGCUAACUCCGUGCCAGCAGCCGCGGUAAUACGGAGGGUGCAAGCGUUAAUCGGAAUUACUGGGCGUAAAGCGCACGCAGGCGGUCUGUCAAGUCGGAUGUGAAAUCCCCGGGCUCAACCUGGGAACUGCAUUCGAAACUGGCAGGCUAGAGUCUUGUAGAGGGGGGUAGAAUUCCAGGUGUAGCGGUGAAAUGCGUAGAGAUCUGGAGGAAUACCGGUGGCGAAGGCGGCCCCCUGGACAAAGACUGACGCUCAGGUGCGAAAGCGUGGGGAGCAAACAGGAUUAGAUACCCUGGUAGUCCACGCCGUAAACGAUGUCGAUUUGGAGGUUGUGCCCUUGAGGCGUGGCUUCCGGAGCUAACGCGUUAAAUCGACCGCCUGGGGAGUACGGCCGCAAGGUUAAAACUCAAAUGAAUUGACGGGGGCCCGCACAAGCGGUGGAGCAUGUGGUUUAAUUCGAUGCAACGCGAAGAACCUUACCUGGUCUUGACAUCCACAGAACUUAGCAGAGAUGCUUUGGUGCCUUCGGGAACUGUGAGACAGGUGCUGCAUGGCUGUCGUCAGCUCGUGUUGUGAAAUGUUGGGUUAAGUCCCGCAACGAGCGCAACCCUUAUCCUUUGUUGCCAGCGGUCAGGCCGGGAACUCAAAGGAGACUGCCAGUGAUAAACUGGAGGAAGGUGGGGAUGACGUCAAGUCAUCAUGGCCCUUACGACCAGGGCUACACACGUGCUACAAUGGCAUAUACAAAGAGAAGCGACCUCGCGAGAGCAAGCGGACCUCAUAAAGUAUGUCGUAGUCCGGAUUGGAGUCUGCAACUCGACUCCAUGAAGUCGGAAUCGCUAGUAAUCGUAGAUCAGAAUGCUACGGUGAAUACGUUCCCGGGCCUUGUACACACCGCCCGUCACACCAUGGGAGUGGGUUGCAAAAGAAGUAGGUAGCUUAACCUUCGGGAGGGCGCUUACCACUUUGUGAUUCAUGACUGGGGUGAAGUCGUAACAAGGUAACCGUAGGGGAACCUGCGGUUGGAUCACCU
RNAcentral lists this ribosomal RNA (1528 nucleotides) under Klebsiella pneumoniae. RNAcentral describes it as "bacterial SSU rRNA". It matches the Rfam family "Bacterial small subunit ribosomal RNA". The record is from RNAcentral. Lineage: Bacteria; Pseudomonadati; Pseudomonadota; Gammaproteobacteria; Enterobacterales; Enterobacteriaceae.